This 474-nucleotide ribosomal RNA is filed under the name Staphylococcus aureus. RNAcentral's name for it is "partial 23S ribosomal RNA". It matches the Rfam family "Bacterial large subunit ribosomal RNA", at positions 1661 to 2134 of the family's 2925-position model. The record is from RNAcentral. Lineage: Bacteria; Bacillati; Bacillota; Bacilli; Caryophanales; Staphylococcaceae.
AGGUAGUCAAGAUGAGAAUUCUAAGGUGAGCGAGCGAACUCUCGUUAAGGAACUCGGCAAAAUGACCCCGUAACUUCGGGAGAAGGGGUGCUCUUUAGGGUUAACGCCCAGAAGAGCCGCAGUGAAUAGGCCCAAGCGACUGUUUAUCAAAAACACAGGUCUCUGCUAAACCGUAAGGUGAUGUAUAGGGGCUGACGCCUGCCCGGUGCUGGAAGGUUAAGAGGAGUGGUUAGCUUCUGCGAAGCUACGAAUCGAAGCCCCAGUAAACGGCGGCCGUAACUAUAACGGUCCUAAGGUAGCGAAAUUCCUUGUCGGGUAAGUUCCGACCCGCACGAAAGGCGUAACGAUUUGGGCACUGUCUCAACGAGAGACUCGGUGAAAUCAUAGUACCUGUGAAGAUGCAGGUUACCCGCGACAGGACGGAAAGACCCCGUGGAGCUUUACUGUAGCCUGAUAUUGAAAUUCGGCACAGCU